AAUCAACGCUGGCGGCGUGCCUAACACAUGCAAGUCGAACGCGAAAGCCCCGCAAGGGGUAAGUAGAGUGGCAAACGGGUGAGUAACACGUGGGUGACCUGCCUUCGAGUGGGGGAUAACGUCCCGAAAGGGACGCUAAUACCUCAUGACAUCCUGCUUUUGAAAAAGCGGAGAUCAAAGCUGGGGAUCGCAAGACCUAGCGCUUGAAGAGGGGCCCGCGCCUGAUUAGCUAGUUGGUGAGGUAACGGCUCACCAAGGCGACGAUCAGUAUCCGGCCUGAGAGGGGGGACGGACACACUGGGACUGGGACACGGCCCAGACUACUACGGGAGGGAGCAGUGGGGAAUUGUUCGCAAUGGGCGCAAGCCUGACGACGCAACGCCGCGUGGAGGACGAAGAUAUUCGGGUCGUAAACUCCGGUCGGGCGGGACGAACGCUUCGCGGAUGAAUAAUCCGCGGAAUUGACGGUACCGCUAAAGGAAGCCCCGGCUAACUCCGUG
RNAcentral lists this ribosomal RNA (500 nucleotides) under uncultured bacterium. Its description in RNAcentral is "partial 16S ribosomal RNA". It matches the Rfam family "Bacterial small subunit ribosomal RNA", at positions 29 to 507 of the family's 1533-position model. The record is from RNAcentral.